AUUGAACGCUGGCGGCAGGCCUAACACAUGCAAGUCGAACGGUAACAGGAAGAAGCUUGCUUCUUUGCUGACGAGUGGCGGACGGGUGAGUAAUGUCUGGGAAACUGCCUGAUGGAGGGGGAUAACUACUGGAAACGGUAGCUAAUACCGCAUAACGUCGCAAGACCAAAAAGGGGGACGUUCGGGCCUCUUGCCAUCGGAUGUGCCCAGAUGGGAUUAGCUAGUAGGUGGGGUAACGGCUCACCUAGGCGACGAUCCCUAGCUGGUCUGAGAGGAUGACCAGCCACACUGGAACUGAGACACGGUCCAGACUCCUACGGGAGGCAGCAGUGGGGAAUAUUGCACAAUGGGCGCAAGCCUGAUGCAGCCAUGCCGCGUGUAUGAAGAAGGCCUUCGGGUUGUAAAGUACUUUCAGCGGGGAGGAAGGGAGUAAAGUUAAUACCUUUGCUCAUUGACGUUACCCGCAGAAGAAGCACCGGCUAACUCCGUG
RNAcentral lists this ribosomal RNA (490 nucleotides) under uncultured bacterium. RNAcentral describes it as "partial 16S ribosomal RNA". It matches the Rfam family "Bacterial small subunit ribosomal RNA", at positions 30 to 507 of the family's 1533-position model. The record is from RNAcentral.